UGGGGGAAUCUUCCACAAUGGACGCAAGUCUGAUGGAGCAACGCCGCGUGAGUGAAGAAGGUCUUCGGAUCGUAAAGCUCUGUUGUUGGUGAAGAAGGAUAGAGGCAGUAACUGGUCUUUAUUUGACGGUAAUCAACCAGAAAGUCACGGCUAACUACGUGCCAGCAGCCGCGGUAAUACGUAGGUGGCAAGCGUUGUCCGGAUUUAUUGGGCGUAAAGCGAGCGCAGGCGGAAUGAUAAGUCUGAUGUGAAAGCCCACGGCUCAACCGUGGAACUGCAUCGGAAACUGUCAUUCUUGAGUGCAGAAGAGGAGAGUGGAACUCCAUGUGUAGCGGUGGAAUGCGUAGAUAUAUGGAAGAACACCAGUGGCGAAGGCGGCUCUCUGGUCUGCAACUGACGCUGAGGCUCGAAAGCAUGGGUAGCGAACAGGAUUAGAUACC
Molecule: ribosomal RNA, 440 nt
Filed under: uncultured bacterium
Lineage: Bacteria
Description: partial 16S ribosomal RNA
Rfam family: Bacterial small subunit ribosomal RNA
Source: RNAcentral